This 468-nucleotide ribosomal RNA is filed under the name uncultured bacterium. Its description in RNAcentral is "partial 16S ribosomal RNA". It matches the Rfam family "Bacterial small subunit ribosomal RNA", at positions 28 to 507 of the family's 1533-position model. The record is from RNAcentral.
GACGAACGCUGGCGGCGUGCUUAACACAUGCAAGUCGAACGGAAAGGCCCUGCUUUUGUGGGGUGCUCGAGUGGCGAACGGGUGAGUAACACGUGAGUAACCUGCCCUUGACUUUGGGAUAACUUCAGGAAACUGGGGCUAUUACCGGAUAGGAGCUCCUGCUGCAUGGUGGGGGUUGGAAAGUUUCGGCGGUUGGGGAUGGACUCGCGGCUUAUCAGCUUGUUGGUGGGGUAGUGGCUUACCAAGGCUUUGACGGGUAGCCGGCCUGGGAGGGUGACCGGCCACAUUGGGACUGAGAUACGGCCCAGACUCCUACGGGAGGCAGCAGUGGGGAAUAUUGCACAAUGGGCGGAAGCCUGAUGCAGCAACGCCGCGUGCGGGAUGACGGCCUUCGGGUUGUAAACCGCUUUCGCCUGUGACGAAGCGUGAGUGACGGUAAUGGGUAAAGAAGCACCGGCUAACUACGUG